GCUGCCUGGGUCGGCUGGGCCUGUGGGCCUGCGUCCGACAGCGCGCGGCCGUGCUUUCUAAGCGGGCUCGGCAGCACCAGACUUCACCGGCCCGGCGCGGGGCUCACAAGUGCUCGCACUCCCUGCGGCCGGCGCGCUGACCGGAGCCUCUGGGUCUCGCACGCAGCAGCUGCAGACGCUGCCCGGCGCGGUGGGGCUGUGAGCAAAACGGCCCGCCGGUGUGGUUGCCCAGACUGUGCUGGGCCCUCCUAGGUGGAUGGCCCUGCCCCAGCCUAACUUCUGUACCCCAGCAUAACCUCCAAAGUAACAGCCGUGCCCUGGGAGCCUGUUCAACACUGAACAUAUCCCACAAUAACACUGUUCCAGCGUCGCUGGUAAAAAGCAGAAAUGGCUUCGCUGGAGGCAUCGACAAAUCUAAUGCAGUAACCUCAUUUUACAGAAGAGAACUCUAAGAGGAUAACUAACUUGGCCAAGAUCACAUGAUGUUUCUGGAUGAGAUUAGCAUUCAAAUUCGUGGACUCAUUAAAGUAGAUGGCUCUCUCCAAUAUGGGUGGGCAUCAUCCAAUCUGUUGAAGGCGUGAAGAGAACAAGAGAAGGAGGAAGGAAGAAUUCACCUUUUUUCUUGCUGCCCACCUGCUUGGGCUGGGACAUUGCAUCUCACCUUCUCCAGCCUUUGGAUGAGGAUUUACACCCUGGUUCUCAGGCCUUCAGGCUCUAACUGGAGCUACACUAUCAACUUUCCUGGGCCUCCAGAUUGCAGAUGGUGGAUCACGGUACUUUUUAGCCUCCAUCAUAAUAUGAGAAAAAAGAGGCACAGUGAAGCUAAAUAUAUUGGCUAAAGAUCACAAAGCUAAGUUGAAAUUUUUCAAGAUGAAAAGUUGCUAAAGAAAGAGAAAGGGAAGCGGUUUGCUCCAGUAUUCCUCUUUCCACCUUCCCACUGACUGGGAAGCGGCGGUUAGCAGAGCCACAGUCUUGGAUUAGAGAUAAGAGGGACAUGUUGAGGAAGGUGGAGUCUCCCCCACAGCCCUGGACCAGGCUCCAGUGCCAACAAAAGCCAAGAAGAACCUCUGGAGCAAUCAGUCUAAAUUAGUUGAUAACGUCUUCCAGGAGACCUACGGCCAUCCUACUGAUAUGAACCAGAUCAUACCUGCCCUGAUGGGAUGCCAGAGAAAGACUGCUGCAAGUAGGGAUCCUCUGGAAACAGAACAGAGGGAAGAAGAUACCUUCCCUGAAGCCCAGAUGUUCCAGAAGCCUGCGCCUCAUUCACAAAGUCACCCCAAAAAUGCCCUAGAGUUUGGAGUUUUGAAGAAGCGGGAAGAAGGCCUGAGUAAGGGCCUGGGAACCAAGUUAGAUCCUACUUCAGCAUCAGCACAUGCCAGCGAUGGUGCACACAGGUGGAGAGCGGCCUGCCCGUCUUUUCCAUGGUGCCCACAGACCCAUUUAGGAUGAAAGAUCAGAAAAUUCUCUCCAUGUCACCGCUUCUGAAACAUGUGAAUAUUAAUAUUUGGUGCCUAAAAGGCCAUGGCAAAUUUUCAUUGGUUUUAUCUUAUUCAUGAUUAUAGAGUUGAAAGAAUACAUAUUCCCAUGGGGAUCAAUGAAGACAUUCUCAUUUUGAAUGAAGUAGAAUAUAAGUUGUAAAGAUAUAGAAUUUUCCUGAACUGAACCUUGAACCAAAAAUCCCCUCAAUUAACCUGGAACUAAACACAGUCCCUGAAGAUAACAAGGAGUUUCAGGAUGCCACAGGGCUGUCUGUGCAGUAUGGGGCUUCUUGCUCUAUCUCUGGUAUCUGAGGCAGAUAGGCUACUCAGGCCCCUCUCUGGUCUCAAGGUGGGCUGGCUGAGAUGUCAGUUUCUUCCUCAGUGACAGCUUGGGUACAGUAUGUGUAAACUGAUUGUCAGCUGAGCUGAAGGGACUCUGCCCAUAUUGGAGUGUUCUACAAGAAGAGGUGUCAAACCUAAAGGUCUAAAAUUACUAUGAAAGGAGUAUUGGAAACCACUGGGACAAUUGUGAUCACAACUGGUGGUAGCCUUCUCGUUUGGGUGAGAAAGACAGAAAGGAGGAAGAUGUGUUAGUCAAGGUUCUCUAGAGGGACAAAACUAAUAGGAUAUAUGUAUAUAUGAGAGGGAGUUUAUUAAGGAGAAUUGACUCACUUGAUCACAAGGUAAAGUCCCAAGAUAGGCUGUCUGCAAGUUGAGGAGCAAGGAAGUCAUUGGUGGAUUGUUCUGGGUACCAAAACCUCAAAAGUAGGGAAAUCGACAGUGCAGCCUUCAGUCUGUGGUCAAAGGCUCGAGGGGCCCUGGCAGACCACUGGUGUAAGUCCAAGAGUCCCAGAAGCUGAAGAACUUGGAGUCUGAUGUUUGAGGGCAGGAAGCAUCCAGCACAGGAGAAAGACGGAUGCUGGAAGACUUAGCAAGUCUGUUCUUUCCAAUUUCUUCUGCCUGCUUUUAUUCUAGCCAUGCUGGCAGCUGAUUAGAUGGUGCCCUCCCAAAUUGAGGGUGGCUGUGCCUCUCCCAGUCCACUGACUCAAAUGUUAAUCUCCUUUGGCAACACCCUCACAGACACACCCAGGAACAAUACUUUGCAUCCUUCAUUCCAAUCAAGUUGACACUCAAUAUUAACCAUCACAGAAGGAGAAUUUCAGGCUGAGUCCAAACACUAUGGCCCCAGCCCCAGCUUCCCCUUUCUGGGUUGAAUAACCAGACUGAGCCUAAGAAAAGGAAAAGAGUUGACUUUCUCCCAAAAGGCCUGCAGCGGGUUAGAAAGCAAUGGUUUGGGGACCAUACUGAGUGCCUAGGAUGCUCUGGACCACAAAGCUUGAAGUCAAAUUGUUCAUGCACUUGUUUCAUGAUAGGAAGAGAGAGAGAGAGAGAGAGAGAGAGAGAGAAAUUUCCUUUCCUUGAAGAAUGGCAAAACACGUCUCUUGUUCUGGGGGCUAUAUCUUGAAGGGUAUCUGAUCUCCCCCUCAUGGGAGGAACUAGAAUGCCCUAAGGCAGCCGUGGCUCCUGGAGCUGAGAGAUCUUUCUGACACUUUGUGAGAGCUGCAAGGCUAAGUCUGGAGCCAGAAAAGUCCAUGUGGACAAGUGCAGAGCAAGCAGAUCUGAGACACAUGUGGGAGCAAGCUGGACAUGUCCAAAAGUCAGAGGAAGCAAGAGCAGACAUGCAUGAGCAGGCAGAUGAGGCUGGUGCCCAGGCAGCAGGCUGAGGCUCUGGCUGGGCUUUGGAUGCUCCUGAGAGUCCAGUUAGAGACCAGUGAGCAAACCCACAGUGAACUCUUAUUCCUCACGCAGCAGGACGAGGGAUUAAGCACAAAGCCUUAAAGGUCUGAGUGUCUCUUUAUCCUGACCUCAGGAAAGAGAGGCAAGUAUCAUGUUUCUAAAAGUCUGAGAAGUCUUCACAUGACAGCCUACACCAAAAGAACUCAAAUGCACAUCCACUGCAUACACGCAUGUGUGCACACAUAUACAUGUGUACACAUGCAUGCCCACACACAACCCUCUGGAAGAGGAAGUAAAGAGACUUUAUGUUUUCAGCCCCUCUUGAGGAAACUUAAACUAAGUCUUUCUGUGGGGUUAGUGGUGGAGACAGAGAGGGUCUGGGGUCACCGAGGCCGAGGUGGCUGGACCCAGAGGGUAGAGCUGAGGGGAUCCCCUGAGACUGGGAAGAUGGAGCAGAAGCAGAUGGCAGAUGGCAGCAGGUGAGAGCAGACUGGAUUUCUCCUAAAUCACCAGAUCCAGCCAACCUUUCUUUCCUUAGGGACACCUCUAGAUCCCAUUCCAAAUGAACUCUUUCUCUGACCUUUCACCUCAAUUCAGAAUUUGGGAAAUUUAGCCAUGAUCUUAGGAACACAGAGGCUUGAAACAAUCUUUUCUAACCACCCGUUUGUUCAGACUGUGUAAGUUCUGCUUCUGCAUCCAGUGUCAACACCCAAGAACCAUUUUAAAGGGGAGCCAUCCUUUGAAAUUAAACUUCUUUUAAUAAUAAAGACAGAUUUCAGGGUUGACAUAAAAGAUAGCCACAGUAAAGCCAAUCCUCCAGUGUAUAACAUUUUUCAAAGUUUCCUUCCUCUUCAUUGCUGGUGUUCAUGUACAGUCCAGAGUUAGUCUACAUUAAAUUAUAGAUUGUUUUCAGCAAUAAUGCAAACAUUUGGAAGCCUUCAAACUCUCUGAUAACUAACUUCUACAUUCUCUCUGCUAUUAUUAUAUAGAAAGGGAAAUUUUACCUGAUGCUGUUAAAGUCCUCACGAACAUAGUGAUCCGAAUUGGCUGAAGUGGAAAACUAAAUGUUAGCUGAUUUUCAAAACAAGAUUUCCACUCUGAAUUCCCAUUUUUCACAUGUGAUCAUAUGCCUUGUUGUGAAGUUGAACUAAAAAGAAACUCCAUGCCCACUGGCUUAAUGCUAGAAGAUAAUCUACAGCAUAGUAAUUUCUUAGACUUCACUUUAUUAGCCACUAAACUUGGAAUGAUUAUUUCUAUGUUCAAUUAUUAAGUCUAUAUCUCCAUUUCUUAAAAAGGUCUGAGGCAGCCCCUUUGAAUAUUAAUACGCAUUUAUUUUCACCUCUCAAAUAAAAAAAUAGUUCACAGUG
This 4582-nucleotide long non-coding RNA is filed under the name Homo sapiens (human). RNAcentral's name for it is "TNPO1 divergent transcript, transcript variant 2 (TNPO1-DT)". The record is from RNAcentral. Lineage: Eukaryota; Metazoa; Chordata; Mammalia; Primates; Hominidae.